GCGGGCGUUGUGUAAUGGUAAGACCUCAGCCUUCCAAGCUGAUGAUGCGGGUUCGAUUCCCGCCGCCCGCUCCA
This 74-nucleotide transfer RNA is filed under the name Sulfitobacter delicatus. Its description in RNAcentral is "tRNA_Gly_TCC". It matches the Rfam family "tRNA". From Rfam's summary of the family: Transfer RNA (tRNA) molecules are approximately 80 nucleotides in length. Their secondary structure includes four short double-helical elements and three loops (D, anti-codon, and T loops). RNAcentral also lists the same sequence under 63 other names. Lineage: Bacteria; Pseudomonadati; Pseudomonadota; Alphaproteobacteria; Rhodobacterales; Roseobacteraceae. The record is from RNAcentral.